This 468-nucleotide ribosomal RNA is filed under the name uncultured bacterium. RNAcentral's name for it is "partial 16S ribosomal RNA". It matches the Rfam family "Bacterial small subunit ribosomal RNA", at positions 28 to 507 of the family's 1533-position model. The record is from RNAcentral.
GACGAACGCUGGCGGCGUGCUUAACACAUGCAAGUCGAACGGUGAAGCUCCAGCUUGCUGGAGUGGAUCAGUGGCGAACGGGUGAGUAACACGUGAGCAACCUGCCCCUGACUCUGGAAUAAGCGCUGGAAACGGCGUCUAAUACUGGAUACGAGAAGGGUCCGCAUGGGCACUUUCUGGAAAGUUUUUCGGUUGGGGACGGGCUCGCGGCCUAUCAGCUUGUUGGUGAGGUAAUGGCUCACCAAGGCGACGACGGGUAGCCGGCCUGAGAGGGCGACCGGCCACACUGGGACUGAGACACGGCCCAGACUCCUACGGGAGGCAGCAGUGGGGAAUAUUGCACAAUGGGCGAAAGCCUGAUGCAGCGACGCCGCGUGAGGGAUGACGGCCUUCGGGUUGUAAACCUCUUUCAGCAGGGAAGAAGCGAAAGUGACGGUACCUGCAGAAGAAGCACCGGCUAACUACGUG